This is a long non-coding RNA of Oncorhynchus keta (chum salmon), 151 nucleotides long. RefSeq lists it as uncharacterized. The transcript has 3 exons. The record is from RefSeq and is a predicted model, not a curated record. Lineage: Eukaryota; Metazoa; Chordata; Actinopteri; Salmoniformes; Salmonidae.
GGGAGGGAAGGUGUAACUCUAAACAGGAAAACAGGAGGGAAGGUGUAACUCUAAACAGGAAGAUGGGAGGGAAGGUGUAACUCUAAACAGGAAGAUGGGAGGGAAGGUGUAACUCUAAACAGGAAGAUGGGAGGGAAGGUGUAACUCUAAA